This 301-nucleotide ribosomal RNA is filed under the name uncultured bacterium. RNAcentral's name for it is "partial 16S ribosomal RNA". It matches the Rfam family "Bacterial small subunit ribosomal RNA", at positions 509 to 807 of the family's 1533-position model. The record is from RNAcentral.
CAGCCGCCGCGGUAAUACAGAGGAUGCAAGCGUUAUCCGGAAUGAUUGGGCGUAAAGGGCUCGCAGGCGGUUUCUUAAGUCUGAUGUGAAAGCCCCCGGCUCAACCGAGGAGGGUCAUUGGAAACUGGGAAACUUGAGUGCAGAAGAGGAGAGUGGAAUUCCACGUGUAGCGGUGAAAUGCGUAGAGAUGUGGAGGAGCACCAGUGGCGAAGGCGACUCUCUGGUCUGUAACUGACGCUGAGGAGCGAAAACGUGGGGAGCGAACAGGAUUAGAUACCCCCGUAGUCCCUGUCUCUUAUAC